RNAcentral lists this ribosomal RNA (561 nucleotides) under Chaetomium sp. RNAcentral's name for it is "eukaryotic LSU rRNA". It matches the Rfam family "Eukaryotic large subunit ribosomal RNA", at positions 39 to 626 of the family's 3401-position model. Lineage: Eukaryota; Fungi; Ascomycota; Sordariomycetes; Sordariales; Chaetomiaceae. The record is from RNAcentral.
CAUAUCAAUAAGCGGAGGAAAAGAAACCAACAGGGAUUGCCCUAGUAACGGCGAGUGAAGCGGCAACAGCUCAAAUUUGAAAUCUGGCCUCGGCCCGAGUUGUAAUUUGCAGAGGAAGCUUUAGGCGCGGCACCUUCUGAGUCCCCUGGAACGGGGCGCCAUAGAGGGUGAGAGCCCCGUAUAGUUGGAUGCCUAGCCUGUGUAAAGCUCCUUCGACGAGUCGAGUAGUUUGGGAAUGCUGCUCAAAAUGGGAGGUAAAUUUCUUCUAAAGCUAAAUACCGGCCAGAGACCGAUAGCGCACAAGUAGAGUGAUCGAAAGAUGAAAAGCACUUUGAAAAGAGGGUUAAAUAGCACGUGAAAUUGUUGAAAGGGAAGCGCUUGUGACCAGACUUGCGCCGGGCUGAUCAUCCGGUGUUCUCACCGGUGCACUCUGCCCGGCUCAGGCCAGCAUCGGUUCUCGCGGGGGGAUAAAGGCCCAGGGAACGUAGCUCCUCCGGGAGUGUUAUAGCCCUGGGUGUAAUGCCCUCGCGGGGACCGAGGUUCGCGCAUCUGCAAGGAUGC